RNAcentral lists this ribosomal RNA (478 nucleotides) under uncultured bacterium. RNAcentral describes it as "partial 16S ribosomal RNA". It matches the Rfam family "Bacterial small subunit ribosomal RNA", at positions 28 to 523 of the family's 1533-position model. The record is from RNAcentral.
GACGAACGCUGGCUGCGUGCUUAACACAUGCAAGUCGAACGGUCAGGCCCUUCGGUGCACCCGAGUGGCGAACGUGUGAGUAACACGUGGGUGAUCUGCCCUGCACUUCGGGAUAAGCCUGGGAAACUGGGUCUAAUACCGGAUAGGACCCUGGGAUGCAUGUCCUGGGGUGGAAAGCUUUUGCGGUGUGGGAUGGGCCCGCGGCCUAUCAGCUUGUUGGUGGGGUGAUGGCCUACCAAGGCGACGACGGGUAGCCGGCCUGAGAGGGUGACCGGCCACACUGGGACUGAGAUACGGCCCAGACUCCUACGGGAGGCAGCAGUGGGGAAUAUUGCACAAUGGGCGCAAGCCUGAUGCAGCGACGCCGCGUGAGGGAUGACGGCCUUCGGGUUGUAAACCUCUUUCAGCACCGACGAAGCGCAAGUGACGGUAGGUGCAGAAGAAGGACCGGCCAACUACGUGCCAGCCGCCGCCGUAA